AUCAGCCACCUGACACUUUUGAAAAAACACAAAAGCAUACGCUUGGUUAGAGGAAUAACAUAUCGUUCGCAUUGACGAUGUCGCCGUGGAUUCUGGCAGCGGCCAAAAUUUUGUUUCUGGCUCUUUUCCCCUUUCGCGAACUUUUUUCUUUCGUAAACCUCCUCCGUCGUCAACGAGCCAUCCCGAUUUCCCAGCAUAUCUGCAUGUUGUCCGAGACCUUUUGGAUCUAAUCGUAUUUAAAUCGUAUUUAAUGGGAGAUGUACCAUGUUCUGUGUUGAUGUGCUUUGAGAUUCCCAUGGUGCAGUGUAGGAUUAUCUGAUAUUAGUAAUUAUCUCGAUAAACCAAGAUUGA
This 351-nucleotide small RNA is filed under the name Histoplasma capsulatum. RNAcentral describes it as "hypothetical RNA". Lineage: Eukaryota; Fungi; Ascomycota; Eurotiomycetes; Onygenales; Ajellomycetaceae. RNAcentral also lists the same sequence under 1 other name. The record is from RNAcentral.